ACUCCUACGGGAGGCAGCAGUGGGGAAUAUUGCACAAUGGGCGCAAGCCUGAUGCAGCCAUGCCGCGUGUAUGAAGAAGGCCUUCGGGUUGUAAAGUACUUUCAGCAGUGAGGAAGGUGGUAGUGUUAAUAGCACUAUCAUUUGACGUUAGCUGCAGAAGAAGCACCGGCUAACUCCGUGCCAGCAGCCGCGGUAAUACGGAGGGUGCGAGCGUUAAUCGGAAUUACUGGGCGUAAAGCGCAUGCAGGUGGUUUGUUAAGUCAGAUGUGAAAGCCCGGGGCUCAACCUCGGAAUUGCAUUUGAAACUGGCAGACUAGAGUACUGUAGAGGGGGGUAGAAUUUCAGGUGUAGCGGUGAAAUGCGUAGAGAUCUGAAGGAAUACCGGUGGCGAAGGCGGCCCCCUGGACAGAUACUGACACUCAGAUGCGAAAGCGUGGGGAGCAAACAGGAUUAGAUACCCUGGUAGCACAGAG
Molecule: ribosomal RNA, 473 nt
Filed under: uncultured bacterium
Lineage: Bacteria
Description: bacterial SSU rRNA
Rfam family: Bacterial small subunit ribosomal RNA
Source: RNAcentral